UUUCCCUUGAGGUUCGGAAAGGUCGAUGGCGAACUAUUGUUCAUUUCAGGUGGCCCACCCUAUCUCCGUACGAUUAGGUGGCCCUGGGACGGGACUUUUGACCUCUCUAUUAUAUUACAGGUUAACGAAGGUAAUGGAUCCCGGACCACAAAGGUUCAUCCAGAUCAAGUAGCCUAUAUCCUCACUUGGGAGGAUCUUCAUUCGGAUCCUCCGGCAUGGGUGAAACCCUUCCUCCCUUCCUGCCCCCUAUCUCAAUCUACCCUUCUUCCCCUGAAAACCUCAAAAGACCGUGCCUCAACCCAAGCUUCAGGACCCGCCCAACCAGUUCUCCUGAUGGAGUCCCAAAAGGACCCUUCUUUCCUAGACGCUUUGUCCUCGCCGCCCACAACCCCCUCUUACAGCCUCCACCCUAUAAUCCGCCCCUGGCCCCCGCCUUGACCCCGGUGGCCCCUAUUCCCCUCCUGCCUCCAGUUCCCUCCUCCCCCUCCCCAAUUUCUUCCCCCGCACUCCGUCUCCGGCGAUCAGACGACCGAACGGCCCUCCCACUUUGGCAAAUCUUCCCAUGUUUCCUCUCCGGCUGUCAACCGACUAUCCAGUAUUGGCCAUUUUCUGCAUCUGAUCUUACAAUUGGAAAACUCAUAACCCUUCCUUUUCCCAAGAACCCCGGCCCUAAAUCCUCACUGAUAGAAUUUAUCCCCUCACACCUCCCGCCCACCUGGACGACUGCCCGAGCUACUACAGGUCCUUUUGACUACAGAGGAAAGGCAACAAGUUCUCCUGGGGCUUUCCAAAACCCAGCUCCCAACGAAAAUAGGAUGAGGGGUUUCCACCGCACCCGCCGGACUGGGACUAUGAAACGGCUCCAGGUAGGGAGAGUCUCCGAAUCUAUCGCCAGGCUCUGUUGGCGGGUUCUCAAGGGGCAGGGAAAGGCCCACCAAUUGGCCAAGGUAAGGACCAUAAUUCAAGGAAAAGAGGAAAGCCCCGCAGCCUUUAUGAACGGGCUUCUAGAGGUGUUUCGGAUGUAUACUCCAUUUAACCCCGAGGGCUCAGAACAUAAGGCUACCGUGGCCAUGUCGUUCAUAGAUUCCAGGCA
RNAcentral lists this long non-coding RNA (1093 nucleotides) under Felis catus (domestic cat). RNAcentral describes it as "lncRNA (ENSFCAG00000047869.1)". The record is from RNAcentral. Lineage: Eukaryota; Metazoa; Chordata; Mammalia; Carnivora; Felidae.